AGAAUCAACGCUGGCGGCGUGCCUAACACAUGCAAGUCGAACGCGAAAGUGGAGCAAUCCAUGAGUAGAGUGGCAAACGGGUGAGUAACGCGUGGGCGACCUGCCUUCGAGUGGGGGAUAACAUUCCGAAAGGGAUGCUAAUACCGCAUAACAUCCUUCGUUUAGAUACGAGGUGAUCAAAGCUGGGAGCAAUCCUGGCGCUUAAAGAGGGGCCCGCGUCCGAUUAGCUAGUUGGUGGGGUAAUGGCCUACCAAGGCUCCGAUCGGUA
RNAcentral lists this ribosomal RNA (268 nucleotides) under uncultured bacterium. Its description in RNAcentral is "partial small subunit ribosomal RNA". It matches the Rfam family "Bacterial small subunit ribosomal RNA", at positions 26 to 285 of the family's 1533-position model. The record is from RNAcentral.